RNAcentral lists this ribosomal RNA (839 nucleotides) under Bacillus subtilis. RNAcentral describes it as "bacterial SSU rRNA". It matches the Rfam family "Bacterial small subunit ribosomal RNA", at positions 52 to 874 of the family's 1533-position model. Lineage: Bacteria; Bacillati; Bacillota; Bacilli; Caryophanales; Bacillaceae. The record is from RNAcentral.
UACAUGCAAGUCGAGCGGACAGAUGGGAGCUGCUCCUGAUGUUAGCGGCGGACGGGUGAGUAACACGUGGGUAACCUGCCUGUAAGACUGGGAUAACUCCGGGAAACCGGGGCUAAUACCGGAUGGUUGUUUGAACCGCAUGGUUCAAACAUAAAAGGUGGCUUCGGCUACCACUUACAGAUGGACCCGCGGCGCAUUAGCUAGUUGGUGAGGUAACGGCUCACCAAGGCAACGAUGCGUAGCCGACCUGAGAGGGUGAUCGGCCACACUGGGACUGAGACACGGCCCAGACUCCUACGGGAGGCAGCAGUAGGGAAUCUUCCGCAAUGGACGAAAGUCUGACGGAGCAACGCCGCGUGAGUGAUGAAGGUUUUCGGAUCGUAAAGCUCUGUUGUUAGGGAAGAACAAGUACCGUUCGAAUAGGGCGGUACCUUGACGGUACCUAACCAGAAAGCCACGGCUAACUACGUGCCAGCAGCCGCGGUAAUACGUAGGUGGCAAGCGUUGUCCGGAAUUAUUGGGCGUAAAGGGCUCGCAGGCGGUUUCUUAAGUCUGAUGUGAAAGCCCCCGGCUCAACCGGGGAGGGUCAUUGGAAACUGGGGAACUUGAGUGCAGAAGAGGAGAGUGGAAUUCCACGUGUAGCGGUGAAAUGCGUAGAGAUGUGGAGGAACACCAGUGGCGAAGGCGACUCUCUGGUCUGUAACUGACGCUGAGGAGCGAAAGCGUGGGGAGCGAACAGGAUUAGAUACCCUGGUAGUCCACGCCGUAAACGAUGAGUGCUAAGUGUUAGGGGGUUUCCGCCCCUUAGUGCUGCAGCUAACGCAUUAAGCACUCCGCCU